This 76-nucleotide transfer RNA is filed under the name Staphylococcus aureus. RNAcentral describes it as "tRNA-Lys". It matches the Rfam family "tRNA". From Rfam's summary of the family: Transfer RNA (tRNA) molecules are approximately 80 nucleotides in length. Their secondary structure includes four short double-helical elements and three loops (D, anti-codon, and T loops). Lineage: Bacteria; Bacillati; Bacillota; Bacilli; Caryophanales; Staphylococcaceae. The record is from RNAcentral.
GGAGAAUUAGCUCAGCUGGUAGAGCAUCUGACUUUUAAUCAGAGGGUCGGCGGUUCGAACCCGUCAUUCUCCACCA